Molecule: ribosomal RNA, 253 nt
Filed under: uncultured bacterium
Lineage: Bacteria
Description: partial 16S ribosomal RNA
Rfam family: Bacterial small subunit ribosomal RNA
Source: RNAcentral
UACAGAGGUCUCGAGCGUUGUUCGGAUUCAUUGGGCGUAAAGGGUGCGUAGGUGGCGUGGUAAGUCUGGUGUGAAAUCCCGGGGCUCAACCCCGGAACUGCACUGGAUACUGCCGUGCUUGAGUACUGGAGAGGAGAUUGGAAUUUACGGUGUAGCAGUGAAAUGCGUAGAUAUCGUAAGGAAGACCAGUGGCGAAGGCGAAUCUCUGGACAGCAACUGACGCUGAGGCACGAAGGCCAGGGGAGCAAACGGG